Molecule: unclassified non-coding RNA, 440 nt
Filed under: Hevea brasiliensis (rubber tree)
Lineage: Eukaryota; Viridiplantae; Streptophyta; Magnoliopsida; Malpighiales; Euphorbiaceae
Source: RNAcentral
GGUUUGGACGCAAAGUCUCUACCUCCAAUCUAAGAGAACCAUGACAUAUCGACAUUAUAGAAAAGAAUAAUUGACUUGAUCGUUGAAAUAUUGUUAUUCAUUCAUAAAGCUAUGCUAGCAAUUUGGCAAGCUCGUCUACUCCUAAGCUUCCUUUUGGUACUACAUUCAGAUAAUCUUUUCGAAUACCCUUCUUCUUCUCCUUUCUCGUACUCGUUGUUGAAUUGACCUUUCUACUCGAAACAACAGUUUCUUUUCUCGAAGAAGCUGGAGUAUCUAAUUUGGUGCAUCCUACCUCCAAAUCACCAAUUUCCUCUUCCCCGCGUCUUUGAACUGAUACUUUCUUAGGUUGAUGCUGAAAAACUGGUCCAGGUGGGACAGAUGUAGAGAGAGCAACAGCCCUUUGAUAGACAAUGUCAGCAUCGAUACUAGAAUCAUUUAAU